AGAAAGCGCGUUAAGGAUUGUAGUGGAAAUCCUUUUACCGUCGGUUCGAGUUCGCGUAGCGAGUAUCGAGAACAAGGUAAAAGAUUGUAACGAAAAGCCUGACCCAAU
This 108-nucleotide small RNA is filed under the name Lutibacter sp. Hel_I_33_5. RNAcentral describes it as "Flavo-1 RNA". The stretch from base 14 to 108 matches the Rfam family "Flavo-1 RNA", at positions 9 to 76 of the family's 76-position model. The record is from Rfam by way of RNAcentral. Lineage: Bacteria; Pseudomonadati; Bacteroidota; Flavobacteriia; Flavobacteriales; Flavobacteriaceae.